Dermacentor andersoni is the source of this 2058-nucleotide long non-coding RNA. RefSeq lists it as uncharacterized. NCBI's taxonomy places the organism in Eukaryota, Metazoa, Arthropoda, Arachnida, Ixodida, Ixodidae. The record is from RefSeq and is a predicted model, not a curated record.
GUUUGCGCUGUAACAGUUUUUAUGUCAAGUAUGCACCAACUCGCCCAGAAAGAAGUUUUAAUUAAUGUCACAGAGCCACCGCGCUGCGAUCACUUCGGCGGCACGAUCCAAAUUUGUCGUACAUAUCAUUCUGUGCUGGAAACGCUGGGAGGCAGGAAGUUUGAAAAAACGGCAACUGCCGCCCGCAAUGUCUCGGUCGUGGGUUCGUUAUCCAGUUGUGCGUCAUUCUAAGCCGUUCUCUACAUUUAUACUGGAUAUUAACUGGAGUCAUUUAGCUGUGCUGAUGCUGUUUGCCGGGUGUUUUGCAUCAGUGCUUCGUUACAUCGGCUGUAUUGCGUGUUUUCGCCGACGGCUUACUACCACAAUGGCGGGAUCUGCGUUCGCCGCCUUCGUGUCUCGGUGCGUCUUUGUACGUCGCACGUUCGGAUAACACUUUUUCCGACGGCUGGACAUCCUUCUUGUACCGUGGCGCUAGGUGGAUGACGGGACCUCAUCAUGAUCAGUGUAUUGCUUGCCUAUGUCUACAAGAACCGUCACGCGUGGCCUGUGACAGCAAGCUUUUGUGGGCAGCAAGUGCUCUCCUACGAAGGCUGGCCUACUCUGGCAGCGGCGGCAAUCAUCUUCAAGAUUUAUCCAUGAUCACCUUUGCUGCUAUUUGUCACUCUUGUUAAUUACACUUUCGGCAUCUUUUCUAAUUUAUUAGGUAAUAAAGUAUGAGUAUGUGACAUGGUGUGAAGUUGAUAUCUUGCUGCAUUUUGGCUUGCAAUCACCUUUUGUCCAUGAAAAGCUCAUUGUACAGUUCAUGAAAAAAAUAACAGCAUAUUAUGAUUUAUCUUUCAGUUCUGGUAACAUGCAACGUACAAGGAAUUCACUAAUGGAUGGUAUGCCUAAGAACUGGCCAUUAUUUCUGCGUGAUGCUGUGCAAGCAUGUGGCGUCACCUUACAAGAGGCACCCAGAAAGUAAGUUCCAAUUUACUUUUAAAUGAAGCAUGGGCAUCAGAAAAAAUAUAUUUAUAUUGCUAGUUAGAGUGGUUCGCAGAGUGUUUUUCCAGAUGUGUACUAUCCUUUAUUUCUUAACUCAUUGCAGCACAGUGUUCUGUUUCGUAUACUGGUGUAAGGCUAUUGUGCCCCCUGCAGCUGAAACCAGGAUGUAAUUUUUGCCUCAACUGCAGCAUCACUGACAAAAUUUUUCUUUGCUAGAAACUAUUUCAAUUUGGUGGAGAUCCAGCAGGGCGAAGUUUUGUCAAUAAUGACGUGUUUCACGCAGAGAUGUUCUUGUUUAGGUCAAUGAGGGAACAUUGGAAUUAUAUCAGCAUACAAUAGAGAUCUUGUUUUAUUUGCAAAAUAAUUCUGACAGCCGGCAUUCAAUUGAUUGGUCUAAUUAAAAAGCACUAAUUGACCAAUGAGGCUAUACUACACUAUUCCCAUGGUUCACAUCUGGAAAAACUACCUGUGCAUCACUUUAUCCGACGAUAUAAACUUUUUUUUUUCUGAUGUCCAUGCCUCGCUUAAAAUAAAUUGUAACUGUGGGCAAACGUCGUGUUACUGUAACAGCUGCUGCAAAAAUUUGAGGGAAUGUCUAAUAAAAGUUUUCAGUUGUUCUUGCCAAGCUGUCCAUUAGCCAACUUUUAGCGUAACGUUAGCAGGGCUUACUGGAGUACUUCUAGACGUCCAUGGCUACAAAAUGUCUUGAUCAAGACAGUUACUAGGCUUUUGAAUUAGCCGUUCAAGACAUCUUUCAGACAUCAAAUAGCUGCUUGCGUGUUUCGUGGGUACCCUUGGGGCUUGCGACCCAUUUGCAACAACGGGCGUCUGCGCUGAGAUUACAACAACUCGUGCCAGCGGUGAGAUCGCAACAACUGGCUGGUAGCGGUGAGAUCGCGACAACGGAGGCCAGCUGCGAAGAUAUGCGGUUGACUGUAUGCUGAGCAGCACAACGACCAUCCGGGAGCAGUGCAACGAGCCCUGUGUGAUGAUUGGUUGCCUGCAGCGGAACGACUGCGCUGAAUUCUUGGCUGCGAGGUUUGGUGAGUGCGGGACUUUCUUCUUCUGAGUUUU